CACUCCUGCGGGAGGCAGCAGUGGGGAAUUUUACGCAAUGGGGGAAACCCUGACGUAGCGACACCGCGUGAGCGAAGAAGCCCUUUGGGGUGUAAAGCUCUGUCAGCUGGAACGAAAACAAUGACGGUACCAGCAGAGGAAGCAUCGGCUAACUACGUGCCAGCAGCCGCGGUAAGACGUAGGAUGCGAGCGUUGUCCGGAUUUAUUGGGCGUAAAGAGUUCGUAGGUGGUUUGUUAAGUUUGGUGUUAAAGAUCGGGGCUCAACCCUGGGACUGCACUGAAUACUGGCAGACUCGAGUGUGGUAGAGGCUAGUGGAAUUCCCAGUGUAGCGGUGAAAUGCGUAGAUAUUGGGAAGAACACCGGUGGCGUAGGCGACUAGCUGGGCCAUAACUGACGCUGAGGAACGAAAGCCAGGGGAGCGAAUGGGAUUAGAAACCCCUGUAGUCCC
RNAcentral lists this ribosomal RNA (449 nucleotides) under uncultured organism. RNAcentral's name for it is "partial 16S ribosomal RNA". It matches the Rfam family "Bacterial small subunit ribosomal RNA", at positions 334 to 797 of the family's 1533-position model. The record is from RNAcentral.